This 460-nucleotide ribosomal RNA is filed under the name uncultured bacterium. Its description in RNAcentral is "partial 16S ribosomal RNA". It matches the Rfam family "Bacterial small subunit ribosomal RNA", at positions 339 to 795 of the family's 1533-position model. The record is from RNAcentral.
CUACGGGCCGCUGCAGUGAGGAAUAUUGGUCAAUGGACGCAAGUCUGAACCAGCCAUGCCGCGUGCAGGAAUGAAUGCCCUAUGGGUUGUAAACUGCUCUUGUAAGGGAAGAAACCUCUGGAUGCGUUCGGAGCUGACGGUACCUUACGAAUAAGCAUCGGCUAACUCCGUGCCAGCAGCCGCGGUAAUACGGAGGAUGCAAGCGUUAUCCGGAUUUAUUGGGUUUAAAGGGUGCGCAGGCGGCUAUAUAAGUCAGUGGUGAAAUCUUACGGCUCAACCGUAAAACUGCCAUUGAUACUGUAUAGCUAGAGUACAGAUGGGGUAGGCGGAAUGUAGCAUGUAGCGGUGAAAUGCAUAGAUAUGCUACAGAACACCAAUCGCGAAGGCAGCUUACCAAGCUGUUACUGACACUCAGGCACGAAAGCGUGGGGAUCAAACAGGAUUAGAUACCCGCGUAGUC